UACAGAGGGGGACAACAGCUGGAAACGGCUGCUAAUACCGCAUAACGUUUAGUUGGGGCAUCCCGAUUAAACCAAAAGAGCAAUCCGCUGUAAGAUGGCUUCGCGUCCGAUUAGACAGUUGGCGGGGUAACGGCCCACCAAAUCUACGAUCGGUAGCCGGACUGAGAGGUUGAACGGCCACAUUGGGACUGAGACACGGCCCAGACUCCUACGGGAGGCAGCAGUGGGGGAUAUUGCACAAUGGGGGAAACCCUGAUGCAGCGACGCCGCGUGAGGGAAGAAGGUUUUCGGAUUGUAAACCUCUGUCUUCGGUGACGAAAAUGACGGUAGCCGAGGAGGAAGCCACGGCUAACUACGUGCCAGCAGCCGCGGUAAUACGUAGGUAGCAAGCGUUGUCCGGAAUUACUGGGUGUAAAGGGAGCGUAGGCGGGAGAGCAAGUCGAUUGUCUAAACUAUGGGCUCAACCCAUAGUCGCGAUCGAAACUGUUUUUCUUGAGUGAAGUAGAGGUAAGCGGAAUUCCUAGUGUAGCGGUGAAAUGCGUAAAUAUUAGGAGGAACACCAGUGGCGAAGGCGGCUUACUGGGCUUUAACUGACGCUGAGGCUCGAAAGCGUGGGUAGCAAACAGGAUUAGAUACCCUGGUAGUCCACGCCGUAAACGAUGAUUACUAGGUGUGGGGGGACUGACCCCUUCCGUGCCGGAGU
This 703-nucleotide ribosomal RNA is filed under the name uncultured bacterium. Its description in RNAcentral is "bacterial SSU rRNA". It matches the Rfam family "Bacterial small subunit ribosomal RNA", at positions 132 to 852 of the family's 1533-position model. The record is from RNAcentral.